Molecule: ribosomal RNA, 379 nt
Filed under: uncultured bacterium
Lineage: Bacteria
Description: bacterial SSU rRNA
Rfam family: Bacterial small subunit ribosomal RNA
Source: RNAcentral
UAACACGUAGGACGCAAGCGUUAUCCGGAAUUACUGGGCGUAAAGGGCGUGUAGGCGGUUCGGUAAGUCAACCGUGAAAGCUCCCGGCUAAACCGGGAGAGGUCGGAUGAGACUGCCGGGCUAGUGGGUCGUAGAGGAGUGUGGAAUUCCGGGUGUAGUGGUGAAAUGCGUAGAGAUCCGGAGGAACACCAGAGGCGAAGGCGGCACUCUGGACGACAUCAGACGCUGAGACGCGACAGCACGGGGAGCGAACGGGAUUAGAAACCCCGGUAGUCCGUGCCGUAAACGAUGUGUACUAGAUGUUCGGUUGACUACGGUUGAUUGAGCGUCGCAGCAAACGCGCUAAGUACACCGCCUGGGGAGUACGGUCGCAAGGCUA